Molecule: small RNA, 313 nt
Filed under: uncultured bacterium
Lineage: Bacteria
Description: bacterial SSU rRNA
Rfam family: Bacterial small subunit ribosomal RNA
Source: RNAcentral
CGUACGAGAAAGCCUGGGCAACCGGGUAAGUAAAGUGGCGCACGGGUGAGUAACGCGUGGGUAACCUACCCUCGAGCUGGGGAUAACUCCGCGAAAGCGGGGCUAAUACCGGAUAAUGUUUUGAUGUCUUCGGACGUUGAAACCAAAGGUGGCCUCUGCAUGCAAGCUAUCACUUGAGGAUGGGCCCGCGUACCAUUAGCUAGUUGGUAGGGUAAUGGCCUACCAAGGCAACGAUGGUUAGCUGGUCUGAGAGGAUGGCCAGCCACACUGGAACUGAGAUACGGUCCAGACUCCUACGGGAGGCAGCAGUGGG